CAGUAGCCACGGGAAAACCAGCACCUCGAGUGGUCAGGAGGUUUAUUGGGCCUAAAGCAUCCGUAGCCGGUUGCAUAAGUUUUCGGUUAAAUCUAUGCGCUUAACGUAUAGGCCGCCGAAAAUACUGUGCAGCUAGGGAGUGGGAGGGGUACACGGUACUCGAUAGGAAGGGGUAAAAUCCUUUGAUCUAUUGAUGACCACCUGUGGCGAAGGCGGUGUACCAGAACACGUUCGACGGUGAGGGAUGAAAGCUGGGGGAGCAAACCGGAUUAGAUACCCGGGUAGUCCCUGUCUCUUAUAC
RNAcentral lists this ribosomal RNA (301 nucleotides) under uncultured bacterium. Its description in RNAcentral is "partial 16S ribosomal RNA". It matches the Rfam family "Archaeal small subunit ribosomal RNA", at positions 459 to 760 of the family's 1478-position model. The record is from RNAcentral.